This 253-nucleotide ribosomal RNA is filed under the name uncultured bacterium. Its description in RNAcentral is "partial 16S ribosomal RNA". It matches the Rfam family "Bacterial small subunit ribosomal RNA", at positions 524 to 776 of the family's 1533-position model. The record is from RNAcentral.
UACGGAGGGUGCAAGCGUUAUCCGGAUUCACUGGGUUUAAAGGGUGCGUAGGUGGGUCUGUAAGUCAGUGGUGAAAUCUCCAAGCUUAACUUGGAAACUGCCAUUGAUACUAUCAAUCUUGAAUACCGUGGAGGUCAGCGGAAUAUGUCAUGUAGCGGUGAAAUGCUUAGAUAUGACAUAGAACACCAAUUGCGAAGGCAGCUGGCUACACGAAUAUUGACACUGAUGCACGAAAGCGUGGGGAUCAAACAGG